ACUUGCAUGUCAUGGCGUCACCUUCCUGAUGUUAUGGUCCUCUUUGAGAACAAUGGACAAGCAGCAACAUCUGUCUGCAAUUCACAUAUUGUGAAGACAACCUAGUCACAGUUUUUAUUAGCUAAUCUACACAUACAUCUCCUUUUCCCUUGUAUAUGACAGAUAACCUAAACUGUGCAAGUGUGACCUAGAAUCCUAAAUGAAAUCAACAAUUGACUUUCUAUCCCUCUGGUUUUAUUGCAUUUUCACAGGAUUUACAGAUAGAAGGGGAACUUAAUGAUUUUAGUCCAAUGACUUCAUUUUAUAAAUUAGGAAACAGGAUCAGAAAAGGUAAGUCAUCUGCUGGGAUUAUAUAGUUAAUUAGUAAUGGUUUGUUGGUUUGUUGAUAUGUUGACUCCAGAUUCAAUGCUCUUCCUCAUCCCACUGACUCUCAGGUCCUUCCUGUUUCUUUAAAUGCUAAUUUUUUCCUAGUCAUCUGUACAUUUCACAAGUAUCCCAAUUUUCUAUCCUCUUCCCCUCCAGUGAAGAAAAAUUGCUGAGCUCCUGACCUUAAGUGAAUACAGACUCAUUGAGAAAUCCCAAGGAAGAACAACUGGAUCCAAAGAAGAUAGAGGAGCUCAUUGUGCAGUAUACAUGGAGCAUAAGCCCAAGAGGUUUUCAAUGAUGUUUUCAGUUUUGCACACAGAUUCUCAUUUAAAUUUCAAUACCACCCUUUGAAGGCAGUACCAAAAGUCCUAUUAUCUCCAUCAAUUAUGGACCUGGAGGAUUGUGGGAGCCAAACAUUGCAUAGACUGUCAGACACAAGGGAUGUGUUGGCUGAAGCACAAACACUUGGAAGUCAGGAGAUUUAGAAGCCAGAGCUCAAGCUCUGGGAACCAAGACUACAAAAGGGCUCUAAGAAAGCUAAGUCACAGAAAAGGAGACAAGACUUGGAAAGAGACAGUAAAGGAUUUGGACUUUAAUAUCUGACUGCAUUUGUGGUGAUUACUGAACUGAAACUAAGGCUGCCUCCAGAGACACCAAGAAAACCCCAACAAGAGAAGAUUACAUUUUAGACAAGAAUAUUAUAUGUCAAUCAAUCAAUGCAUGUCAUCAUUCAUUAAUGCAGAUCUCAAACUGUCCCUGCUUUAGUAGGUAAUUUUUAAAAUUUUAUUUAUUUUUUUUGACCCAUAAAAACAGUCCAUCUUCUGACAGUCCCACCCCGUGUGUGUG
This is a long non-coding RNA of Sarcophilus harrisii (Tasmanian devil), 1212 nucleotides long. RefSeq lists it as uncharacterized. The transcript is spliced from 3 exons. The record is from RefSeq and is a predicted model, not a curated record. Lineage: Eukaryota; Metazoa; Chordata; Mammalia; Dasyuromorphia; Dasyuridae.